RNAcentral lists this ribosomal RNA (253 nucleotides) under uncultured bacterium. RNAcentral describes it as "partial 16S ribosomal RNA". It matches the Rfam family "Bacterial small subunit ribosomal RNA", at positions 524 to 776 of the family's 1533-position model. The record is from RNAcentral.
UACGUAGGGACCAAGCGUUGUUCGGAUUUACUGGGCGUAAAGGGCGCGUAGGCGGCUUGACAAGUCACUUGUGAAAUCUCCGGGCUUAACUCGGAACGGCCAAGUGAAACUGUCAUGCUAGAGUGCAGAGGGGGCAAUCGGAAUUCUUGGUGUAGCGGUGAAAUGCGUAGAUAUUACCAGGAACACCAAUGGCGAAGGCAGCUUGCUGGGCCACUCCUGACACUGAGGUACGAAAGCGUGGGGAGCGAACAGG